UCAAUGUCAAAUGGCCGGUUUAUGAAAUUAGUACUUAACAACACUUGUCCGGGUAUAACUUAUAACCAUCACGGAAGGAUAUUCAAACAAUUUUGCAAAAGUAAUCAGCAUAAUUAAACGGAGUGUCGCACGCAAAAACAAAAUCACUGAGUCUUAAGUCCAAGGUCAAAAAUCAAGGCCAAAGAUCAAACAAUGUUCUUACCGCAUUAAGGGUUUUGAAAUGCUUUAUAGUAGCUACACGCAUACUGAGUGGCGCACACUAUAACCAAAUUCCAAGGUUGAAGUCAGGUCACAAUUUCAGGUCCAAGAAAAAAUAAAAGAAAUCAAUUAAGACUUUGUCCAAUCCUUUUCUGAUUUAUUGUUUACUGAUAAGCGUAUCUUUGCGACAAUGGCACUUUUGUUUACCUUUUUUAUUUUAGAUUGGUUGUGACCAAAACCAUUGGCUAAAUUUGUUCUCUAUACAUGUAUACCUUUUCGGUAAUUCGUUUUAGUAUAGUAUCGUUCAUUUUAGUCCGAUUGUUUUAAUCAGGGACCUAUACAAACAGAUGUAAAUUUAUGUUGACAUCUAGAUGCUAUAUUAGGUCUGGUUGUUAUAUGUUUAGACUUGUAUUUAUAACGAAUAAAGUUAUUGAACACAUUGCCCAUUUAUUCAGUUGGCAUACAUUGUGGUGAAUUGUGUGAUACAUUUAUUUGGCAUGUUUUCAAUUGAUAAUAAUACAUGUACUACUAGUAUUUCAAUACUAAGAUAUUGUCAUACUUUUUAACGAGAGAAAACAAGCUAUCCGAACAUAUAAUACUAUACUUAUUAUCUGUUACUCUUUAAAUCACAUAGCGUUCUUUUAUUUAACCCCCCGCAUCUCUAAUUCCUUUUUCCAGACGUGGAUAUCCAUCUUCAAGAACAUCCACACCACGAACGCCGCUCCCGUCAUCAUCUCCGCUAUCUGCAUUUUGGUCCUUUAUCUGGUCAAAGCCCAGGUCAACGAGAGGUUCAAGGCAAAGCUCCCGGUCCCCAUUCCCAUCGAAAUCGUUGUGGUAAUACUUUCUACAAUCGCUUGCCACUUCGGAAAGUUCCCCGAAAAGUUUAAGGUCUAAGUCGUUUGAGUCAUUCCCAAAGGCCUUCCGGUCCUUAGCACCCCUGUUUUUUUUCCGGCGUGGACACUUAUUUCACUGAGGUCAUCGUAAUAGCAGUCGUCUCCUUUGCGCAAUCCGUUUCGCUGUCGGCCAUUAUGGCUAAGAAAAACAAAUACGGAAUCAACUAAAAUCAGGAAUUCAUAGCGUACGGAAUCGCUAACGUGUUAAGUGCGUUCUUCUUAUGCUUUCCUGGUUCUGCCUCCGUUGCCGGUACGUCCUUACAGGAUGGGGCAGGCGGCAAGACACAGAUCGCCAGUCUGAUCUCGGCUGGUUUGGUGCUGAUAAUCAUCUUGUGGCUGGGUUCGCUCUUCACUAACCUUCCUAAUUGCGCCUUGGCUUCGAUCAUCCUUGUUGCCAUCCGAGGUCUAUUCUUACAGCUGUUGGACAUACCGAAAGUCUGGAGGACAUCCAGAUAUGAUUGCUUCAUCUUUGUGGUGACCUACGUGGUGACGGCUCUUGUGCACAUCGACAUGGGGCUCCUGGUCGGCAUUAUGUUCGCAUUCUUCACAGUGGUCCUGAGGACACAAGUCGGUAAACCAAUGCACUUGGCCAAGGUAUCAGAUGAGAAGGUGUACAUGGACCCCAAGU
This is a long non-coding RNA of Dreissena polymorpha, 1719 nucleotides long. RefSeq lists it as uncharacterized. Lineage: Eukaryota; Metazoa; Mollusca; Bivalvia; Myida; Dreissenidae. The transcript is spliced from 8 exons. The record is from RefSeq and is a predicted model, not a curated record.